AAUGUCAUCUAGGUUUGAUUUUAAAAUGCAAUGCUUUUUUUAAAUCUUUCAGCUCCAGAACUUGCCAGUCAAGAUGAAAAACUUCUUCUAAUGGAAUCCAGCUUGAAAGGAACUCAAGAGCAGCUAAGUGAGCAAAUAACAGAAACAGUUCGCCAAGAACAGAACAGUAGAAAAUCACAGACAGAGCUGAAGACCCUGAGAGAACGUAUUAUAGCUUCUGAAGAAGGAAUUAGGGAUUACAAAGACAUGCUUAAAAAACUUCCAUUACAAUUAACAGCAUCAAAGACAGCUCAACAGCAAAAGCUUCAUGGAGCUCUCAACAGGCAGCAGUUAGAACCAGUAUCAGCCAUUGAACAAGUAAACAGUCUGAAACAACAGGUGAGUUUGCUUAUAUGUGAAAAAGCAAUUCUACAGCAAACAGAGUACGGUGUCAUAUCAUAAUUGCAUUUUUGGGCCUCAGUCUUGCAAACACUUAGGCAUGAAAGUAAUUCUGCAGAAGCCAAAGUAACUACUCAGGGAACAAAGCUACUUGUGUUCAUUUGCGGGACUGAGGCCUAAAAUUGCAUUAAUUAUAUAAUGUUCACGGUUGGUGAAGUGUAGCUAUAUGUGUGUGUUUUACUGAGCUAUAGGGAUUACGUUUGGAAUUGUGAUUUGAAAAUUAUUUGUAAUAAGUGAAGUUACCUGAUGUGAUUAGCUAGUUUUAAGGGCCAGUUGAAGACCGGCAUCUCAGUUAUUUUAGCUAUCUCACUAAGAAGAAACUGAAAGUCUGAUCAGUGUUAACUAAUUUGUACUUUUGUUAUUAUGGAUAUAAUAUGGAUUUUAAAUGAGAGAGUGGUUAUGUUAAACUAUAAUUAAAGAGUAAUAUGGCCAUGACCCAAUUAACUUUCUAAUCUUACUAGUAAAACUGUAGAACAGUAAAUCAGGAUUUUGGUUUACAGUAGGGCUGUCAAUUCAUCGCAGUUAACUCAUGCGAUUAACUAAAAAAAUUAAUCAUGAUUAAAAAAAUUAAU
This 1010-nucleotide long non-coding RNA is filed under the name Chrysemys picta bellii (western painted turtle). RNAcentral's name for it is "lncRNA (ENSCPBG00000007158.1)". The record is from RNAcentral. Lineage: Eukaryota; Metazoa; Chordata; Testudines; Emydidae.